RNAcentral lists this ribosomal RNA (1030 nucleotides) under Daldinia sp. RNAcentral's name for it is "SSU rRNA". It matches the Rfam family "Eukaryotic small subunit ribosomal RNA", at positions 72 to 1111 of the family's 1831-position model. The record is from RNAcentral. Lineage: Eukaryota; Fungi; Ascomycota; Sordariomycetes; Xylariales; Hypoxylaceae.
AGUUAUACUGCGAAACUGCGAAUGGCUCAUUAAAUCAGUUAUCGUUUAUUUGAUAGUACCUUACUACUUGGAUAACCGUGGUAAUUCUAGAGCUAAUACAUGCUAAAAACCCCGACUCACGAAGGGGUGUAUUUAUUAGAUUAAAAACCAAUGCCCUUCGGGGCUCUUUGGUGAUUCAUAAUAACUUCUCGAAUCGCAUGGCCUUGCGCCGGCGAUGGUUCAUUCAAAUUUCUGCCCUAUCAACUUUCGAUGGCAGGGUCUUGGCCUGCCAUGGUUACAACGGGUAACGGAGGGUUAGGGCUCGACCCCGGAGAAGGAGCCUGAGAAACGGCUACUACAUCCAAGGAAGGCAGCAGGCGCGCAAAUUACCCAAUCCCGAUACGGGGAGGUAGUGACAAUAAAUACUGAUACAGGGCUCUUUUGGGUCUUGUAAUUGGAAUGAGUACAAUUUAAAUCCCUUAACGAGGAACAAUUGGAGGGCAAGUCUGGUGCCAGCAGCCGCGGUAAUUCCAGCUCCAAUAGCGUAUAUUAAAGUUGUUGCAGUUAAAAAGCUCGUAGUUGAACCUUGGGCCUGGCUGGCCGGUCCGCCUCACCGCGUGCACUGGUUCGGCCGGGCCUUUCCCUCUGGGGAACCCUAUGCUCUUUAUUGGGCGUAGCGGGGAACCAGGACUUUUACUGUGAAAAAAUUAGAGUGUUCAAAGCAGGCCUAUGCUCGAAUACAUCAGCAUGGAAUAAUAGAAUAGGACGUGUGGUUCUAUUUUGUUGGUUUCUAGGACCGCCGUAAUGAUUAAUAGGGACAGUCGGGGGCAUCAGUAUUCAAUUGUCAGAGGUGAAAUUCUUGGAUUUAUUGAAGACUAACUACUGCGAAAGCAUUUGCCAAGGAUGUUUUCAUUAAUCAGGAACGAAAGUUAGGGGAUCGAAGACGAUCAGAUACCGUCGUAGUCUUAACCAUAAACUAUGCCGACUAGGGAUCGGACGAUGUUAUUUUUUUGACUCGUUCGGCACCUUACGAGAAAUCAAAGUCUUUGGG